This 1362-nucleotide ribosomal RNA is filed under the name uncultured bacterium. RNAcentral describes it as "16S ribosomal RNA". It matches the Rfam family "Bacterial small subunit ribosomal RNA", at positions 28 to 1381 of the family's 1533-position model. The record is from RNAcentral.
GAUGAACGCUAGCGACAGGCUUAACACAUGCAAGUCGAGGGGCAGCAGGGGAGUAGCAAUACUCCCGCUGGCGACCGGCGCACGGGUGAGUAACACGUAUGCAACCUGCCCUUGUCAGGGGGAUAAGCGGAAGAAAUUCCGUCUAAUACCGCAUAAUGCUGCGGGGAGACAUCUCCCUGCAGCCAAAGAUUUAUCGGACAAGGAUGGGCAUGCGGCGCAUUAGCUUGUUGGCGGGGUAACGGCCCACCAAGGCGACGAUGCGUAGGGGUUCUGAGAGGAAGGUCCCCCACACUGGUACUGAGACACGGACCAGACUCCUACGGGAGGCAGCAGUGAGGAAUAUUGGUCAAUGGCCGGGAGGCUGAACCAGCCAAGUCGCGUGAGGGAAGACGGUCCUAUGGAUUGUAAACCUCUUUUGUCAGGGAGCAAAAACUGCCACGUGUGGCAGGAUGAGAGUACCUGAAGAAAAAGCAUCGGCUAACUCCGUGCCAGCAGCCGCGGUAAUACGGAGGAUGCGAGCGUUAUCCGGAUUUAUUGGGUUUAAAGGGUGCGUAGGCGGACAGUUAAGUCAGCGGUAAAAUUGAGAGGCUCAACCUCUUCCCGCCGUUGAAACUGAUUGUCUUGAGUGGGCGAGAAGUAUGCGGAAUGCGUGGUGUAGCGGUGAAAUGCAUAGAUAUCACGCAGAACUCCGAUUGCGAAGGCAGCAUACCGGCGCCCAACUGACGCUGAAGCACGAAAGCGUGGGUAUCGAACAGGAUUAGAUACCCUGGUAGUCCACGCAGUAAACGAUGAAUACUAAUUGUUCGGGUCAAAUGAGAUCUGAGUGAUACAGCGAAAGCGUUAAGUAUUCCACCUGGGGAGUACGCCGGCAACGGUGAAACUCAAAGGAAUUGACGGGGGCCCGCACAAGCGGAGGAACAUGUGGUUUAAUUCGAUGAUACGCGAGGAACCUUACCCGGGCUCAAACGACACAGGAAUGAUCUGAGAAAUCAGGCAGUCCUCCGGGACCUGUGUCGAGGUGCUGCAUGGUUGUCGUCAGCUCGUGCCGUGAGGUGUCGGCUUAAGUGCCAUAACGAGCGCAACCCCCAUCGACAGUUGCCAGCAGGUCAAGCUGGGCACUCUGUCGAGACUGCCGGCGCAAGCUGUGAGGAAGGCGGGGAUGACGUCAAAUCAGCACGGCCCUUACGUCCGGGGCGACACACGUGUUACGAUGGCAGGUACAGCGGGAAGCCGCCUGGCGACAGGGAGCGGAACCCGAAAGCCUGUCUCAGUUCGGAUUGGAGUCUGCAACUCGACUCCAUGAAGCUGGAUUCGCUAGUAAUCGCGCAUCAGCCACGGCGCGGUGAAUACGUUCCCGGGCCU